Molecule: ribosomal RNA, 224 nt
Filed under: Streptococcus agalactiae BSU174
Lineage: Bacteria; Bacillati; Bacillota; Bacilli; Lactobacillales; Streptococcaceae
Description: partial 16S ribosomal RNA
Rfam family: Bacterial small subunit ribosomal RNA
Source: RNAcentral
UUUAAUGAGAGUUUGAUCCUGGCUCAGGACGAACGCUGGCGGCGUGCCUAAUACAUGCAAGUAGAACGCUGAGGUUUGGUGUUUACACUAGACUGAUGAGUUGCGAACGGGUGAGUAACGCGUAGGUAACCUGCCUCAUAGCGGGGGAUAACUAUUGGAAACGAUAGCUAAUACCGCAUAAGAGUGAUUAACACAUGUUAGUUAUUUAAAAGGAGCAAUUGCUU